Long non-coding RNA from Zophobas morio, 1422 nucleotides. RefSeq lists it as uncharacterized. The transcript has 3 exons. Lineage: Eukaryota; Metazoa; Arthropoda; Insecta; Coleoptera; Tenebrionidae. The record is from RefSeq and is a predicted model, not a curated record.
UGGCGAUAACAAGUGAAAUUUUUGGUUGGGUGUUGAUAUACACACGCACAAAUUCCAAUAACUAAAUCAUCCACGGAAAAAGAAGUUCCACGUUUAGGAGUAUAUUUGUAAUGAAGUGCAGGAGGCGAAGCGCCCGUGUGUCCUUUCAAAAAGUUAGCACGCGUUGGUGACCAUAAAAAGUUAGGUUAUGUUAGCAACGGCUGCAAUGCUGCAAUUAAAGAAUGCACGAAUGCGAAAUUUAACAAAUUUUUGUGGCAAAAGGAAGCAUUUGCAUAACAUUUGAAGAUGAGGAACGUGAUCAAAAGAUGCUGUAGAAGAGCUUUGCACAAACAGUUUGUGCGAAAUCGAGAAGCGCGUGUUCUGCGCGAUGUUACGGAGUUAGAUAAGCGCAAAUGUAGUUCAUUUUCAAACUGUUUUUCAGAAGUUGAAGGCGCAUUGAUGACCAGUGGGACCAAGGGCCUUUGGUGGUUAAAUAUGCCUUUAUAUACAUGGACACCAGAUGCAUGUGCUUAGAAAGAUGAUUUUUGAUUAAGAACUCAGAGCAAGAGUAUCUUUAAUGGUGUAUACAAAUUUGACAAACAACGCAUUUUAAUGUCUGAUAACUACAUUUCCUAUCCAUCAGUUCUACUUCAUGAAAGUUAGUUUUGGUUUGUGAGUGCAUUAAAUGUUUUACAGCAGAUUCUUUAGCUACAUUAUCAAAACUUAUCUGGGUGGCAAGUUUAUGGGACUUACUGACCAAAAGGUCAUGGUGAAUAGCUUAGUUUCUUCAAAGUGUCUAAAUAUGUUUCCAGCCCUCUAUUGGUUUACCACCAAAAUAUUUGUAUUUCAAAGAUCUGUGCAAAGAUUUGGCGUGCAUGUUGGUGUUAAUGCCUGCGUUCUUUUGAUAACACUGGGCCCAUGACUUCAUGCGCUCUUUAUUUUGAAAGUAGCAUUCCAAUAUGUAGCUGUAACUAUCAUCUGUCAUGAAAUAAUUGGGUACCAAAACCGAUAUUAAUGAUUUUAUUUCACCAACCAGAACCUCUUAUAUGUUGGUGUCCUUUCAGUUGGACAGAAUAAAUGUUACUGGAUAAUCAAUAUUUUUAUCAUCUAACACAUGGACUUGUGGUCAAUUCAAUGUCAUAGAGGUUUGUCCCAUGUGUGCCAUCUACACAAAUGAUUUUGGCGCCAUAUUUUUUUAACAUAUACUCCAGCCCACUGUACAUGGAAGCUAAUGCAGUCAUUUUUGUGCAAUUUUUCAUGUUCUGAUGGACAACAAGAUUUUCCUUACUUCAUUUACCAGAUAUAUUAUUUUUUCUGCAAUGUGGGGAAUGUCUUUCAUAGUCAGAAGAUUAAAUCUGGUACAUGAACUGAGUUCUAGAUUUUUAACAGUUUCAAUUAUUUUUUCGUGUGUUAAACCAGUGCGAAUUUGUUCAACUAGAUAUG